UUGGUUUGUUCUUCUAUUUUUAUAAAUUUCAAUGAACUAUCUAUAUGAUCUUUUCCUCUUUAAUAUGUUUCCUUUUUUUGUGUGGUCUUGUUUUGAAAAUUUCACUGAUACACUCAAGUUAUGGCUGCAAGAACUCCAUGCUCCAUAUGUUGACAGAGUUUUCUGUCAAGAUGUUGCUAGAACAUUUUGAAGAAUAUUCUAUUCUUCCUUGCUGUUACAAUGCAAGAAUUCAAUUUUUAUGCCCAUCAAAAAUUAUAAAAGCUGUAGCUAGACGAGCUAGCUACUUGUUGAUGACUUCACCACACAUCAUCUCUUAUUGGAUGAUUGUGGUUCAUACUUUGCUAUACAAGGACCAUAUUAUAGGUCCUUGUUAUCAGCAUUUCAAAUCACUAUUGUAGAUACAAACAAAUUUUCAUGGGAUGAAGAUAAAGAUAUCUAUAAUGUCACCGUUCUAUCCGAAAUAGAUGAGCCGAAAUAUUGGGUUGGAUUCCCUGAGUGCAAUAAUCUAGCCGCUGAUUGUGAGAAACCUUUCUAUAGUACUUACUUCACGGAAGCAACAGAUAUUUCCCAACAAGAAAUGAACAGAAUUGUCACUUGCUAUAGGAAGUAUAUGAGGAGUCCGCAUUAUCCUAACCAUGCUCCUAAUUUCAUUAUACAUAGGCUUGAUAGUGAUGAAUAUGCCAAGUGGGUAGUUCCAUUCGAAGCUAUAAAAACAAGUUGUUCUACCAAGGAAGGGUGAUGCUAUUUAUGCAUGCAAUGAUUAUACUGUCGACAGAACUUACAAAAUAAUAGAUGAUGACACUAUCAUUUUCCGUGAACACUGGUCUGAUUUACGGGUGGUCAAUAGCUUAUUCUUUGGAAACUUAUUCAUUGCCAAGGUAGUGACAAAUGAAAAUGUCAUAUAACUGGAUAUUUUAAUUUUUUAGGAACACAAGGAUCUUUUCUCUACAUUUUGUAAUAAUUUUUUAUAAAUUUUUUUAGAUUUGUAUUUCAUGAAGA
Lolium perenne is the source of this 999-nucleotide long non-coding RNA. RefSeq lists it as uncharacterized. Lineage: Eukaryota; Viridiplantae; Streptophyta; Magnoliopsida; Poales; Poaceae. The record is from RefSeq and is a predicted model, not a curated record.